This 4244-nucleotide long non-coding RNA is filed under the name Homo sapiens (human). RNAcentral describes it as "HSALNT0337840". Lineage: Eukaryota; Metazoa; Chordata; Mammalia; Primates; Hominidae. The record is from RNAcentral.
CUCAGGCAGAAAAAAAAUAAAUAAAUAAACCAGACAGGCCCAUGACUCAGUUAGCAGAUGCCCACACAAAGAUAGGGUGGCCAACCGUACUGAUUUGUUUGCCCAGGACUGUCCCAGUUUUAGCAUUGAAAGUCCCACCUUCCAGGAAACCCCGGUCCCGAGCAAACCAGGCCGGUUGGUCGCCCUACUUGCCAAUCUCGCCUGUUGACAGCAAAGCCAGAGACAGGAGAGCCACACCCCCGCGCUUUGCUCCAGCAACAGGGAACUGCCUGUUUCCCUGCUGACUUUAACCUCCUUCCCUUUACCCACAGGGCCGCCCUUCCCCUUCCCAGCCCCCUAACUUACCUGUCGCCCUGUCAUCCUCCAGGCAUCACUCCCCGUCCAAGGCCUUCCGUCACUCCUCUGGCGCAGUAGCAGGCUGAUGUCACCCACAGAACAUAAUGGAUUCUAGGAACAGGCCCACAAGAGGAAAAGUGGGCAAGUACAAAUAUAGGAUGUUUGUUCUGAGAAAACUAAAAAUACUUUGUUUAAAUUGGAUCACAUUUUACCAGUUAAGUGAACCUUACCAGGUAAGUCUCCAGGUUUGGAUAUUAACUCCUUCUAUUUGGGAUUUUUCCCCCCUAAAUUUCUCCCUUCAGUAGAAGGUGUUCACUUUUAUCAACAGUGAUUUCAUAAACCAUUCAAAGUCUGACAAAACUGCCAUCGGAGCACCAUUGCUGUCAUUCAUUUUCCAAGACCCUGUGUCUUAUUCUCAGCAUUACAUGCGUUCUAUGAUGAUAAGUUGGGUUAUCAGAAAGGAGUCACUGGGAACAUGUGAGAAGAGAAAAAACCAGAAGUAGUAACAUUAAAAUAAUCAAACUUUUACUCUCAAACAGAUAAUAAAUGAAUUGCCUAGCUGUACAAUUAUGGACCAAAUAUAUGUAAAAAUUAUACAAAUGAGCAUGUGUUUCCUCCUGUUUUAUAGCUUGACCCCAUAAAUCAUAGGCCUCAAAAAAAUCCCAGUACAGAGCCUUUCCCUAAAGAAGUUAAUAUCACCCAUUUUAGGCAAAUUUGUCUAGGAUCAUAUGGCAAAGUCAGGCUCAGCCAAAAAUUGAAGCCACUAAUGCUGAUGCCAAGCUGAUUAAAUGUUUCCUUAAAUAUCUAACUUGUCUAUCAAAUGCUGUUUUAAGUAUCUGAAGACUAGUACUCAGACUCUUACGCUAUUUAAGCUUCAGUUCUCCAAGGCUGUCUGCUUUUGCUGCAUUUUGCAUAAACGCCAUUUUUUUCCUCCAUUUGAGUUAAUUUUCCAGGUUCUCCUCAAAUAAUCCUUGGCCUUCUGAAACAAAAGCUUACAGAAACAGGAUAAACAGUUUGAACUCUGACUUUUGUUUUCAUUUGUGAGAACGUGAUUUUUUUUUCAACUUUCUAAUCACAGUCAUAAAAUUAAGCCUGGUUUUCAGAACGAAGUUUACCUGAUUCUCAAGUCCCGUAUCUUCAAAAAUUGCACAUUUGAUGGCAAAAUACAAAAUCUGUCUGAAAAGGUCUUGUUUUACUGUUAGCAUUCGAGAAGAGACUUCUACUUCAAGAAAAUCAAAGGAUUGUUUCUCACCCUAAAGGAAAACUAUGUUGGAAAGCUUGGCAAAAUUAUACCUGGUCAUUUAUAAUUUUUCAUUAGACACCUGGGAAAUGUUCUUCACUAAAAGAAACCUUUUAAAAUUCCUAAAGAAUUAGGCUCCUUGCUCACCAGUAUUAUGAGAACAUUGACCCAAAUCUGGGACUGAGGAACCAAAUGCCACUUUUCCCCCUUGCCCGCCGUCCCACUAAACAUACUGUACAAAUUACCAGUCACCAACUGUCCAUCAGUGUCCAAACUGCCAUUGCUGAGAACGAUUUAUUACACAGCAUCGAUUAUCAGGGACAGUAACACAAAUAACUUUUGCUUUCUGGAAAACGUUUGCCAUAGGAAAAAAUAUACUCACAAGUGUACAAAAAGAAAAAUUCAAUUCCUGUAAAUGUGGAUGUACAUAACCAGAGCUGAAUUUUUUUCAUGAAGAGUUUGAAUAUAUAAAACUCUUGAAUCUACAUUAAAAACUAAACCAUGAAGAAAUAUCCCAAAAAGUAGGUAUUAGUUUACAUGACACAAUAUGAAAUGUAUCUAAGUGUCAUUCUCUGAUAACACCCAUCUAUAUUCAUGUCUCCCUCCCUCAUUCCUUUUGUAUUUAAAACCUGACAUGUCAAUUAACACCUUACAUAAAUUGUAUUUCAUAGCAUUUAUUAGCUGAGUGUUGAAAUCAUAUUGAUUAUGUCACCAUAAGAUGUUCUAUAGAAUAAUCUUGUUUAUUAAUCACUUGAGGUCUCUGUAACUUGUUUCUGAAUGAGAUUGUCAGAUCUGUGUUGACAGAGCUCUGUCUAGCAGUUCUUUUUCCCCCACGGAGCUAAAAAUAUCAGAGUAGCACAGCGAGCUGCCUCUCUACCAGCCUCCCAGACUGGGGACCCUAGCUCCGUGAUCCCCUUCCUCCAGAAUAAUGUGGAGGCACAGGGUCACCCAGUUAGACUUCAUUUUCCAAGUCUACCCUGCAACUAGAAGUGGCUUGCCAGUGUAUUUUCAGAAGUAAUGUGUACAAUUUCCAUGUUUCUUGCUUAAGAGGAAAUGGCUAUGGGGAGAGGUUGAUCAACUGGUACAAAGUUGCAGUUAGGUGAGAGGAAUCAGUUCUGGUGUUCCAUUGCACAGCAGGGUGACUGUGGCUAACAAUAAUGCAUCGUAUAUUUCAAACUAACUAGAAGAGAGGAUUUUGAAUGCUUUACCACAAAGAAAUGAUAAAUGUUUGAGAUGAUGGAUUUGCUAAUUACUCUGAUUUCAUCAUUACACAAUGCACACAUGUGUCAAAACCUUUCAUUUUUAUCCCAUGAAUAUGUACACUUACCAUAUGACAAUCGAAGUUAAAAUAAAAUUUUAUUUUAAAAAUGGCUUACUCUCCUUACUCUCAUGUCCACUUUUCACCCUUUUCCACAAGCUUUUUUUUUUUUUUUUGUCUUUUCCCAAAAGCAAUUUCCCAAGUAUUUGAGGGUCCUUUUUUUUCACAGUAGCUUAGCCUAUGGCCUAAUAUACACAGCUUAUUGUAUAAUACUUGCCUCUAUUUCAUGUCCAUUAUGCUUAUUGAUUUAUAUAUAUAUGUCCCCCUUAUUAGACUAUAUAUUACUUGUAAGCAAUGUAUGUUUCUUAUUCAUCCUUCUCUCUAGCACUUAAAGUUCACCUAGCAUACGAUAAAUGCUGAAUAAAUGCCAGUUGAAUAAAUAAAUGAACCAAUCACCUUCUUCAAUUAGCAAAUGGAUAUACUAUGUAUUAAGGCAAAUUUAGAUACAAUCUCUAUGCCUGCAUAUUUCUCAGAAAUUUGAAAGCUUUAACCAUAUUAUCUGGAGUUCAACUUCAAUGUUGAACUUCAAGCUUUAUAACAUAAACUUGAUUUGCCCCUUAUAGGUCAAAUCAACUUUUACUGAACUAUUUUUUACCUACCACAUUGGCCAAGAUGGGAAAGGCUGAUAACACACAGUGUUAAGCUGGAAAGAUUGUGGGCUAAUAGGCACUCUCAUCCCCUGUUGAUGGUGGUAUAUAGCAGUAUAACUUGUUUUUUCCUGUGAAUAUCUUCACAAAUGUACUCAAGAACAAUUGUAUGUCUUGUGGAUGCGCAUGGCAUUACUUAUAAGAGCAAAACCAACCAAAAUGCCCUUCAUUAGAAAAGCUGUUAAAACGAACGAAGGUACAUCGUCACAAAAAAUACUCUGCUAAGAGUAAAAAGAAUGAGGCAGGUCAACCUGUUCUAUAGCAAUUGCUCUUAGGUAUAUUAUUAAGUGAUAAAGAAUGAUACAAAAUAGUAUACUCCUACAUGUGUUCUUGCAAAUACAUAUCUAGGGAUACGUCAUAUGUGCAUAGACAACUUUCAAGGACUCUAGAAAAAAAACUGUAAUUCUGGGGGGCUGUCUGGGCCUGAAGAAUACUUUCUGCAUGUUUCAAUUUUACUUUUACUCCAUGAAUAUGUCACUUUUUUCAGUAGUUUUACCACUUCAUACCCAUUAUGACAAAACAGAUAAUAGCAAGUGUACAUGACAGUGUAGGGAAAUUGGAGCCCUCACACAUUGCUGGUUGGAAUGUAAAAUCGUACAGCCAUUUGGCAGUUCCUGGAAGUGCUAAAUAUAGGGUUACCAUAUGACUCAGAAAUUUCUCUAUUAGGCAUAUACUCAAGAGAAUUAAAGAUGUGUGUCCACAC